GUUCCCGUAGUGUAGUGGUUAUCACGUUUGCUUUACACGCGAAAGGUCCCCGGUUCGAGCCCGGGCGGAAACA
RNAcentral lists this transfer RNA (73 nucleotides) under Ciona intestinalis (vase tunicate). RNAcentral describes it as "tRNA-Val (TAC) (tRNA-Val-TAC-8-1)". It matches the Rfam family "tRNA". From Rfam's summary of the family: Transfer RNA (tRNA) molecules are approximately 80 nucleotides in length. Lineage: Eukaryota; Metazoa; Chordata; Ascidiacea; Phlebobranchia; Cionidae. The record is from Rfam by way of RNAcentral.